UACGAGGGAUGCAAGCGUUAUCCGGAAUUAUUGGGCGUAAAGCGUUUGUAGGCGGGCGAGUGUGUUUAAUGUUAAAUCUUAAAGCUCAACUUUGAAAUUGCGUUAAAAACUGCUUGUCUUGAGUAUGGUAGGGGUAAAGGGAAUUCCCAGUGUAGCGGUGAAAUGCGUAGAUAUUGGGAAGAACACUAAACAGCGAAGGCACUUUACUAGGCUAAUACUGACGCUGAGAAACGAAAGGUAAGGUAGCAAAACGGAUUAGAUACCCGUGUAGUCUUACCCGUAAACUAUGGACACUAAACGGUAAAUUUUUAAUUUACUGUUAAAGCUAAUGCGUUAAGUGUCCCGCCUGGGGAGUAUGCUUGCAAAAGUGAAACUCAAAGGAAUUGACGGGGGCCCGCACAAGCGGUGGAGCAUGUGGUUUAAUUCGACGGUACACGAAGAACCUUACCAGGAUUUGACAUGCUAGAUAGUUGCUUGAAAGAGUAACGUGCCGUAAGGAAUCUAGACACAGGUGGUGCAUGGCUGUCGUCAGUUCGUGUUGUGAAAUGUUGGGUUAAGUCCCGCAACGAACGCAACCCUUGUCUUUAGUUAUUUUCUAAAGAGACUGCCUGUAAUAAACAGGAGGAAGGUAAGGAUGAGGUCAAGUCAUCAUGCCCCUUAUGUCCUGGGCUACACACGUGCUACAAUGGGAAAGACAAUGAGCUGCAAAUCUGUAAAUUUAAGCAAAUCUCUUAAACUUUCUCGUAGUUCGGAUUGUGGGCUGCAACUCGCCCACAUGAAGUUGGAAUCGCUAGUAAUCGCCAGUCAGCUAUAUGGCGGUGAAUCCGUUCCCGGGCCU
Molecule: ribosomal RNA, 838 nt
Filed under: uncultured bacterium
Lineage: Bacteria
Description: bacterial SSU rRNA
Rfam family: Bacterial small subunit ribosomal RNA
Source: RNAcentral